CAGCAGCCGCGGGAAUACGAAGGGUGCAAGCGUUAAUCGGAAUUACUGGGCGUAAAGCGUGCGUAGGCGGUGAGUUAAGUCUGCUGUGAAAUCCCCGGGCUCAACCUGGGAAUGGCAGUGGAUACUGGCUCGCUAGAGUGUGUCAGAGGAUGGUGGAAUUCCCGGUGUAGCGGUGAAAUGCGUAGAGAUCGGGAGGAACAUCAGUGGCGAAGGCCGCCAUCUGGACAACACUGGCGCUGAGGCACGAAAGCGUGGGGAGCAAACAGGAUUAGAUACCCCGGUAGUCCCUGUCUCUUAUACA
This 301-nucleotide ribosomal RNA is filed under the name uncultured bacterium. Its description in RNAcentral is "partial 16S ribosomal RNA". It matches the Rfam family "Bacterial small subunit ribosomal RNA", at positions 509 to 808 of the family's 1533-position model. The record is from RNAcentral.